Molecule: ribosomal RNA, 348 nt
Filed under: uncultured bacterium
Lineage: Bacteria
Description: partial 16S ribosomal RNA
Rfam family: Bacterial small subunit ribosomal RNA
Source: RNAcentral
CCUACGGGGGGCAGCAGUGGGGAAUAGUGCACAAUGGGGGAAACCCUGAUGCAGCGACGCCGCGUGAGUGAAGAAGUAAUUCGUUAUGUAAAGCUCUAGCAGCAGGGAAGAAAAGGACGGUACGUGAGUAAGAAGCCCCGGCUAACGACGGGCCAGCAGCCGCGGUAAUACGUAGGGGGCAAGCGUUAUCCGGAUUUACUGGGGGUACAGGGAGCGUAGACGGCAGUGGAAGUCUGGAGUGAAAGGCGGGGGCUCCACCCCCGGCCUGCUCGGGAAACUGUACGGCUGGAGUGCAGGAGAGGUCAGUGGCAUUCCUAGUGUAGCGGUGACAUGCUUAGAUAUUAGGCG